RNAcentral lists this ribosomal RNA (1373 nucleotides) under Bacillus sp. (in: firmicutes). Its description in RNAcentral is "bacterial SSU rRNA". It matches the Rfam family "Bacterial small subunit ribosomal RNA", at positions 74 to 1446 of the family's 1533-position model. The record is from RNAcentral. Lineage: Bacteria; Bacillati; Bacillota; Bacilli; Caryophanales; Bacillaceae.
GGGAGCUUGCUCCCUGAUGUUAGCGGCGGACGGGUGAGUAACACGUGGGUAACCUGCCUGUAAGACUGGGAAACUCCGGGAAACCGGGGCUAAUACCGGAUGCUUGAUUGAACCGCAUGGUUCCAAUUAUAAAAGGUGGCUUCGAGCUAACCAUUACAGAUGGGCCCGGCGCGCAUUAACUAGGUUGUGGAGGCACUGGUCCCCAAGGUGAAGAUGCGUUGCGACCUGGGAAGGUGGUCGGUCAAGUGGGAUGGACCCCGCCCAUCCUCCUUAUGGAAGCCGGCAGUAGGAAAUUUCGCCAAGGACGAAAUCUGAACGAACAACGGCGGUGAGGUAUUAAGGUUUUCGAUCCGAAACUCUGGUGGUAAGGAAAAAACAAUCCGGUCCAAUUGGCCGCCCCCUGGCGGUACCUAACCCGAAAGCUACGGCUAACUAAGGGGCCAGCAGACGCGGUAAACUUUGGUGGCUAGCGGUGGUCAGAAUUAAUGGGCGUAAGCGGCGCCGCAGGCGUUUCUUAAGUCUGAUGUGAAGCCCCGGCUCUACCGGGGAGGGUCAUUGGAACUGGGGGACUUGAGUGCAGAAGAGGAGAGUGGAUUCCACGUGUAGCGGUGAAAUGCGUAGAGAUGUGGAGGAACACCAGUGGCGAAGGCGACUCUCUGGUCUGUAACUGACGCUGAGGCGCGAAAGCGUGGGGAGCGAACAGGAUUAGAUACCCUGGUAGUCCACGCCGUAAACGAUGAGUGCUAAGUGUUAGAGGGUUUCCGCCCUUUAGUGCUGCAGCAAACGCAUUAAGCACUCCGCCUGGGGAGUACGGUCGCAAGACUGAAACUCAAAGGAAUUGACGGGGGCCCGCACAAGCGGUGGAGCAUGUGGUUUAAUUCGAAGCAACGCGAAGAACCUUACCAGGUCUUGACAUCCUCUGACAACCCUAGAGAUAGGGCUUCCCCUUCGGGGGCAGAGUGACAGGUGGUGCAUGGUUGUCGUCAGCUCGUGUCGUGAGAUGUUGGGUUAAGUCCCGCAACGAGCGCAACCCUUGAUCUUAGUUGCCAGCAUUCAGUUGGGCACUCUAAGGUGACUGCCGGUGACAAACCGGAGGAAGGUGGGGAUGACGUCAAAUCAUCAUGCCCCUUAUGACCUGGGCUACACACGUGCUACAAUGGGCAGAACAAAGGGCAGCGAAGCCGCGAGGCUAAGCCAAUCCCACAAAUCUGUUCUCAGUUCGGAUCGCAGUCUGCAACUCGACUGCGUGAAGCUGGAAUCGCUAGUAAUCGCGGAUCAGCAUGCCGCGGUGAAUACGUUCCCGGGCCUUGUACACCCGCCCGUCACACCACGAGAGUUUGUAACACCCGAAGUCGGUGAGGUACCUUUUUGAG